UACGGGGGGGGCAAGCGUUGUUCGGAAUUACUGGGCGUAAAGGGCGCGUAGGCGGCCUGCUAAGUCGGAUGUGAAAUCCCUCGGCUCAACCGGGGAACUGCAUCCGAUACUGGUGGGCUUGAAUCCGGGAGAGGGAUGCAGAAUUCCAGGUGUAGCGGUGAAAUGCGUAGAUAUCUGGAGGAAUACCGGUGGCGAAGGCGGCAUCCUGGACCGGCAUUGACGCUGAGGAGCGAAAGCUAGGGGAGCAAACGGG
RNAcentral lists this ribosomal RNA (253 nucleotides) under uncultured bacterium. Its description in RNAcentral is "partial 16S ribosomal RNA". It matches the Rfam family "Bacterial small subunit ribosomal RNA", at positions 524 to 776 of the family's 1533-position model. The record is from RNAcentral.